This 246-nucleotide RNase P RNA is filed under the name Deltaproteobacteria bacterium. RNAcentral describes it as "partial RNase P RNA component class A". It matches the Rfam family "Bacterial RNase P class A", at positions 1 to 250 of the family's 367-position model. Rfam says of the family: Ribonuclease P (RNase P) is a ubiquitous endoribonuclease, found in archaea, bacteria and eukarya as well as chloroplasts and mitochondria. Its best characterised activity is the generation of mature 5'-ends of tRNAs by cleaving the 5'-leader elements of precursor-tRNAs. Cellular RNase Ps are ribonucleoproteins. The record is from RNAcentral. Lineage: Bacteria; Pseudomonadati; Myxococcota; Myxococcia.
CGAGCAGUCCAGACGGUCGCUGGAUCAUUAAAAAAUCCAGAGGAAAGUCCGAACACCAUAGGGCAGGGUGCUCCAUAACGUGGAGUCGCGGCGACGUGAAGGAAAGUGCAACAGAAAGUAUACCGCCCCGCGUUUAAGCGGGGUAAGGGUGAAAAGGUGCGGUAAGAGCGCACCAGUUCCCUGGGUGACCGGGGAAGCUUUGUAAACCCCACCCGGUGCAAGACCAAAUAGGGGAGUGUUUGAGAG